UUUCCGAAUUUAGCUGUCCCAACAUUGCAAAAUAACCCUAGCUUCUCUUCAUCGUUCUCUCACUCUCCCUUUGUGCUGCCGCAGCCUUAGUUGUCUUCAAUUGCAGGAACUUCAUUCAGCCUGCAGUGUCUCUACACUCCGACGAUCGACACCGACGCCACUUCCAAAACACGGUUGCAGCUCAAGUCUCGUGGCUCUUCCGUCUCUAUUCCGUAUUUUAAAAGUAAUUUUUAAUAUUCAAUAAUGAAAGAUUUGGGCUGUAUGAAAUGUGCACAGGGAGUAAGAUGCAGUAUCAUUUACUCUUUUUGUUUGUUUCUAAUCAUGACAUAGUGCCAGUUACCUCCACUGGGUAAGACUAAAAUUAUGAUUUCCUUCCAUUGUAGUGUAGGCGAAGGUUCAUUUAGCCUGUAGAACAUAACAAUUGCAUUUACUAGUUGUUUGCAGCUGGCAAUGAAAACAGUUUGGGUAUCCCUAUAA
This is a long non-coding RNA of Carya illinoinensis, 477 nucleotides long. RefSeq lists it as uncharacterized. The record is from RefSeq and is a predicted model, not a curated record. The transcript is spliced from 2 exons. NCBI's taxonomy places the organism in Eukaryota, Viridiplantae, Streptophyta, Magnoliopsida, Fagales, Juglandaceae.